RNAcentral lists this transfer RNA (81 nucleotides) under Pseudomonas sp. 25 E 4. RNAcentral describes it as "tRNA-His". The record is from RNAcentral. Lineage: Bacteria; Pseudomonadati; Pseudomonadota; Gammaproteobacteria; Pseudomonadales; Pseudomonadaceae.
GUGGUCUGUGGCCUGUGCGGUGCGGCGCUGUUCUAUGGCGACAGCAUGAUCACUCCGGCGAUCUCGGUGCUGUCGGCCGUG